AGAGUUUGAUCCUGGCUCAGGACGAACGCUGGCGGCGUGCUUAACACAUGCAAGUCGAACGAACGGAUAAGAGAAGCUUGCUUUUCUUAGAAGUUAGUGGCGGACGGGUGAGUAACGCGUGGGCAAUCUACCCAUAAGACUGGAAUAACUACGGGAAACCGUGGCUAAUACCGGAUAUAAUCAUUGAGCCGCAUGGCUUGAUGAUGAAAGGAGGCCUCUCUUUGAAGCUCCUGCUUAUGGAUGAGCCCGCGUCCCAUUAGCUAGUUGGUGAGGUAACGGCCCACCAAGGCGACGAUGGGUAGCCGGCCUGAGAGGGUGAUCGGCCACACUGGGACUGAGACACGGCCCAGACUCCUACGGGAGGCAGCAGUGGGGAAUCUUCCGCAAUGGGCGCAAGCCUGACGGAGCAACGCCGCGUGAGUGAUGAAGGCUUUAGGGUCGUAAAACUCUGUCUUUAGGGAAGAAGUCUUGAAAGUGAAUAGCUUUCUAGGUGACGGUACCUGAGGAGGAAGCUCCGGCUAACUACGUGCCAGCCGCCGCGGUAAUAC
RNAcentral lists this ribosomal RNA (548 nucleotides) under uncultured soil bacterium. Its description in RNAcentral is "bacterial SSU rRNA". It matches the Rfam family "Bacterial small subunit ribosomal RNA", at positions 8 to 526 of the family's 1533-position model. The record is from RNAcentral.